GACGAACGCUGGCGGCGUGCUUAACACAUGCAAGUCGAACGAUGAAGCAAAGAAUCGAAGCUUCGGCAGAAAUUCAUUUCGGAUUAGUGGCAGACGGGUGAGUAACGCGUGAGCAACCUACCUCUUACAAAGGGAUAGCCUCGGGAAACCGGGAUUAAUACCAUAUAACAUUGCGACGAAGCAUUUCGAUGCAAUCAAAUCUACGGCGGUAAGAGAUGGGCUCGCGUCCCAUUAACCGGAUGGUGGGGUAACGGCUAACCAUAGUGACGAUGGGUAACCGGGAUGAGAGGGUGAACGGUCACACUGGAACUGAGACACGGUCCAGAAUCGUACGGGAGGGAGCAGUGGGGAAUAUUGCACGAUGGAGGGAACUCCGAUGCAGCGACGCCGCGUGAGUGAUGAAGGAAUUCGUUACGUAAAACUCUGUGCUAUGGGAAGAAAGGGACUGUACCAUAGGAGAAAGCACCGGCUAAAUACGUG
RNAcentral lists this ribosomal RNA (480 nucleotides) under uncultured bacterium. RNAcentral's name for it is "partial 16S ribosomal RNA". It matches the Rfam family "Bacterial small subunit ribosomal RNA", at positions 28 to 507 of the family's 1533-position model. The record is from RNAcentral.